RNAcentral lists this transfer RNA (77 nucleotides) under Ruminococcus bromii. RNAcentral's name for it is "tRNA-Pro". It matches the Rfam family "tRNA". Rfam says of the family: Transfer RNA (tRNA) molecules are approximately 80 nucleotides in length. Their secondary structure includes four short double-helical elements and three loops (D, anti-codon, and T loops). The record is from RNAcentral. RNAcentral also lists the same sequence under 11 other names. Lineage: Bacteria; Bacillati; Bacillota; Clostridia; Eubacteriales; Oscillospiraceae.
CGAGGUGUGGCUCAGCUUGGUAGAGCGCUACGUUCGGGACGUAGAAGCCGGAGGUUCAAAUCCUCUCACCUCGACCA